Molecule: small RNA, 108 nt
Filed under: Brucella intermedia 229E
Lineage: Bacteria; Pseudomonadati; Pseudomonadota; Alphaproteobacteria; Hyphomicrobiales; Brucellaceae
Description: Ochrobactrum intermedium 229E Repression of heat shock gene expression (ROSE) element
Rfam family: Repression of heat shock gene expression (ROSE) element
About the family: This family represents a 5' UTR cis-regulatory element found in heat shock mRNAs and is known as the ROSE (repression of heat shock gene expression) element.
Source: Rfam by way of RNAcentral
CCGGACGCCCAUCGGGGGGGUCUGGCCCGUCGAACGAUGAAUGACAUCGCUGACGGAAAUAGAAACUUGUACCCAUGUUGCUUCACAAGGAGGAUGUGGCUAUGAGAA